GUAGCUUGCUUUCCAACUUUUGCUUUUGUUGACUAAUGAUUGACUGUAACUCUGGUAUUGGUGCCAGGGUUUCCUGUCCUUCCCUUCCCUUAACAGUUUUCCUUGUCACCCGUGUAUAUAAAACCCUAUCUUCAGGGAAGAUUGCCUUCGGAGGUAACAGGAGUUAAGAUGAUGACGUAUCUACUUUUCGGUAUGCCAGUUUUAUCAGGAAUAUGCGGUUAUCAGCCCAGGAUCUCUUGGCUGUUGGCUGGGAGCCUGGAUGCUUUUCUUGUGUGUCUUUCUGCAGGGCUGCACAAAUGUCUCCGGGGCAUGGAUGACUUGUUUUCCUCUGAGCGACUUGAAGAGGAGGCCUCAAUAUGUCAGCUUUCAAGAGCCACUUGCCCUGUAUUUUGCUCCUUGGAAAUGGGUUGCUAAGUCCAGUCCACACGAAUGGGAGUCAGAUUCUGCCUUUUGAAGCAAAGAAUACAUUUAGCUUGAAAGCCGUCAUUGAAGGGAAGCCAGCAUCAACGCUGAUGCUUUGUGUAGCCAAGGAUACAGACAUCUUUCAGAUUAAAUCCACAAGGUCAUCAGAACACUUUUUAUACUCGAUUGAAACCAGUUUCCUUCUCGUGUCUACAUGGAAAUCAGUCAUGGAGCUCUUCAUAACAAGACUUAUUAUUUGUUUGUAUUAAAACAAACACAACAACAACAACAACAAACCUCUCUCCUCAGCUGACUUCCUCUUUUGUCCACCUGCUGGCCUUCCAAAGAACAGUUCAGAUGUCACAAAAAGCUCUACACAAUGCUGAUGCUCCAGCCCAGAAAACACAGUGUGCAUCGUUCCAAGGUCCUCUGUUUCCUUAAAAUAUAACCCUGGAGCAGCAGCACCCAUAGGAGAAGUGAGCAUGGCACUAACAGUGACUACCUUUCAACCAGCCAGCCAUUGCCAAGCACCCUAACAGGACCACGGAGAAGACUGCCUGGGGACACAUCCCACUACUGUUUCCCACAGCUCUACAGUAGACUGAAGUAGGCUUUACUCAUAAGGAAGAUAAAAAUGAAGCAAGUAAAAGCAAAGUCUAAACCACACUGGCGUGUUCCUGCACACAUGCUACCAUUUUUUUCGCUGUGGCCCUUGAUAUAAAUGCUUUGCACAGUCCUAAGUCCAUUGAAUUCUUCAGAUAUUGCUGGCAGGGCUUUGGCACGCAGAGGUGCGAGGUAGAAAGUCUUCCCACCCAGGAGGAACCAGUGCAAUGACCCGCAACUGUGGCAAUACAUGUUCUGUUCAUCGAACAAGAGUGAUUUUGUAUUUCACUCCUGAUCAAUAAGAGUGUGACGGCACUGACUGCUGACAGCCCAGACCCAAUGUAAUUUAGCAGAGGGUUUGACUCUUCUUAUACUUUAAAAGCCGCCAAACCUCCUGGGUACCCAACCAAUUAAAGUAGCAAAUGAUCCCGAGAUUAGGAUUCCAGGGCCCAAAGCAAAGGUUUUCAUAAAUGGGACAAUGACAAUGUUCGUAUUGUCUAACUUCAGCCCCCACAGCAUUGCAAAAUUCCUUAGAGCAGUGAAGCAUCAGGUUAAUCACCAAGGUGACCAACCCGAUGGCAGCACAAAGCAUCUCCUGAGGAAUUCCAUCAUCAAUACUGUGUUUUUUAAAUGGUAUGAAGUUUGAGCCACAUAACAGUGCCCCGGAAGAGGGAAAGAUGCCAAUAGCUUGGCCUGUCCUAUCACUCUUUGUGACUCCAAAGAUGGCAGAUAGCAAGCUUUAAAGUCACAUGUGAACCUAGAGACUCGAGGCACCCUGCAGUUUGUCCCCAGGAGUCAAGUGAAACUCCAGUCCUACUCAUCCCAUAAGCUGGACCUCCUGACACUGAUACUUUUUCAUGGGCAGAUCCUUUCUGUACUCUCCACAUCUCCCUUGAGGCUGGAAGCCAUACGCACCUCCCUUAACCUUCUUGACCAUUUUGAAAAGUAACAGUAUAGAGGCAGAGAGAAGGGGAGAAGAAACAUGGCCAAGGGUGUCUCUAGGAUGAACUUCUCUUCCCAGCCACCAGCAAGCAUUUGUGAUGGAAAGUUUAGGUUGAAUGAGAACAAAAGGAAAUGGUGCCUUGUGGCCUCACAGGGACUGAGAAGGGGUGACGUCAUUUUCCUUGCCUGUUGUCCUGUCAUUGAAUGCUUGGGGGUGUACCCAUUUCUGAAAGUGAACCCUGCAACUCAAUGGGGCAUGAUGAGAGCACAUAGGUAAAUGCUUGUGUAAUUUGCAAUAUGGAAUUUGUAAAAGCAUUUGUGGAAAUGUUUAGCUUGAAAGCUUGGCUUGGAUGAUACAGGGGGCCGUUUGUGAUGAAUGAACACGUUGUGAGUAGAAAGAAUACCAGACCGUGAGUGAAAGUUAAUUGCUAGUAGGUUGGAUGAAAAUUAAUAUUUUGUCCUCAUAGAAGCAGAGUUACAACUGGUGGUUGAAUUUUCCAAAUUUCAUUUCUGUGAAAAAGUCUCAAUUGAAAGUUAAAUAUAAAACAUCGUUCUAAAGGGAUGGUAGUGUUUAGCAGGUAAAAGGCUUUUGCUGCCAAGCCUGACAACAUGGAUUCCAUCCUGGGAUGCACACAGUGAAGGAGCAGAACCAAUUCCUACAAGUUGAUUUCUGACUUCCACAUGUGCCAAGCACAUCUCCCAUCCCACACCUUGCUGUGGGAUGGUCUGUAUGUCAAA
Molecule: long non-coding RNA, 2685 nt
Organism: Peromyscus leucopus (white-footed mouse)
Lineage: Eukaryota; Metazoa; Chordata; Mammalia; Rodentia; Cricetidae
Exons: 3
Source: RefSeq, a predicted model, not a curated record